This 497-nucleotide ribosomal RNA is filed under the name uncultured bacterium. Its description in RNAcentral is "partial 16S ribosomal RNA". It matches the Rfam family "Bacterial small subunit ribosomal RNA", at positions 28 to 507 of the family's 1533-position model. The record is from RNAcentral.
GAUGAACGCUGGCGGCGUGCCUAAUACAUGCAAGUCGAGCGAACGGACGAGAAGCUUGCUUCUCUGAUGUUAGCGGCGGACGGGUGAGUAACACGUGGAUAACCUACCUAUAAGACUGGGAUAACUUCGGGAAACCGGAGCUAAUACCGGAUAAUAUUUUGAACCGCAUGGUUCAAAAGUGAAAGACGGUCUUGCUGUCACUUAUAGAUGGAUCCGCGCUGCAUUAGCUAGUUGGUAAGGUAACGGCUUACCAAGGCAACGAUGCAUAGCCGACCUGAGAGGGUGAUCGGCCACACUGGAACUGAGACACGGUCCAGACUCCUACGGGAGGCAGCAGUAGGGAAUCUUCCGCAAUGGGCGAAAGCCUGACGGAGCAACGCCGCGUGAGUGAUGGAGGUCUUCGGAUCGUAAAACUCUGUUAUUAGGGAAGAACAUAUGUGUAAGUAACAGUGCACAUCUUGACGGUACCUAAUCAGAAAGCCACGGCUAACUACGUG